GGAGAGAUGGCCGAGUGGUCUAAGGCGCACGAUUGCUAAUCGUGUGUACGGUUAACCCCGUACCGAGGGUUCAAAUCCCUCUCUCUCCGCCA
Molecule: transfer RNA, 92 nt
Filed under: Deltaproteobacteria bacterium
Lineage: Bacteria; Pseudomonadati; Myxococcota; Myxococcia
Description: tRNA-Ser
Rfam family: tRNA
About the family: Transfer RNA (tRNA) molecules are approximately 80 nucleotides in length. Their secondary structure includes four short double-helical elements and three loops (D, anti-codon, and T loops). Further hydrogen bonds mediate the characteristic L-shaped molecular structure. tRNAs have two regions of fundamental functional importance: the anti-codon, which is responsible for specific mRNA codon recognition, and the 3' end, to which the tRNAs corresponding amino acid is attached (by aminoacyl-tRNA synthetases). tRNAs cope with the degeneracy of the genetic code in two manners: having more than one tRNA (with a specific anti-codon) for a particular amino acid; and 'wobble' base-pairing, i.e. permitting non-standard base-pairing at the 3rd anti-codon position.
Source: RNAcentral